UACAGAGGGUGCGAGCGUUGUCCGGAUCACUGGGCGUAAAGGGCGCGUAGGCGGCUCAGUAAGCGUGCGGUGAAAGCCCGGGGCUCAACCCCGGGUCGGCCGUGCGAACUGCAGAGCUGGAGCACUGUAGAGGCAGGUGGAAUUCCGGGUGUAGCGGUGGAAUGCGUAGAGAUCCGGAAGAACACCGGUGGCGAAGGCGGCCUGCUGGGCAGUGGCUGACGCUGAGGAGCGAAAGCGUGGGGAGCGAACAGG
RNAcentral lists this ribosomal RNA (252 nucleotides) under uncultured bacterium. RNAcentral's name for it is "partial 16S ribosomal RNA". It matches the Rfam family "Bacterial small subunit ribosomal RNA", at positions 524 to 776 of the family's 1533-position model. The record is from RNAcentral.